AUUGAACGCUGGCGGCAGGCCUAACACAUGCAAGUCGAACGGUAACAGGAAGCAGCUUGCUGCUUCGCUGACGAGUGGCGGACGGGUGAGUAAUGUCUGGGAAACUGCCUGAUGGAGGGGGAUAACUACUGGAAACGGUAGCUAAUACCGCAUAACGUCGCAAGACCAAAGAGGGGGACCUUAGGGCCUCUUGCCAUCGGAUGUGCCCAGAUGGGAUUAGCUGGUAGGUGGGGUAACGGCUCACCUAGGCGACGAUCCCUAGCUGGUCUGAGAGGAUGACCAGCCACACUGGAACUGAGACACGGUCCAGACUCCUACGGGAGGCAGCAGUGGGGAAUAUUGCACAAUGGGCGCAAGCCUGAUGCAGCCAUGCCGCGUGUAUGAAGAAGGCCUUCGGGUUGUAAAGUACUUUCAGCGGGGAGGAAGGGAGUAAAGUUAAUACCUUUGCUCAUUGACGUUACCCGCAGAAGAAGCACCGGCUAACUCCGUG
RNAcentral lists this ribosomal RNA (490 nucleotides) under uncultured bacterium. RNAcentral's name for it is "partial 16S ribosomal RNA". It matches the Rfam family "Bacterial small subunit ribosomal RNA", at positions 30 to 507 of the family's 1533-position model. The record is from RNAcentral.